Molecule: ribosomal RNA, 738 nt
Filed under: uncultured bacterium
Lineage: Bacteria
Description: bacterial SSU rRNA
Rfam family: Bacterial small subunit ribosomal RNA
Source: RNAcentral
AGAGUUUGAUCAUGGCUCAGGAUGAACGCUAGCGGGAGGCUUAAUACAUGCAAGUCGAGCGGCAAGGUCUUCGGACCCUAGAGCGGCGCACGGGUGAGUAACGCGUACGCAAUCUGCCCUUCAGUGAGGAAUAGCCCUGGGAAACUGGGAUUAAUACCUCAUAAUAUUAUUUGUUCGCAUGGAUGAAUAAUUAAAGUUCUGGCGCUGAAGGAUGGGCGUGCGUCUGAUUAGCUAGUUGGUAGGGUAACGGCCUACCAAGGCUACGAUCAGUAGGGGGCGUGAGAGCGUGACCCCCCACACGGGUACUGAGACACGGACCCGACUCCUACGGGAGGCAGCAGUAAGGAAUAUUGGGCAAUGGAGGCAACUCUGACCCAGCCAUCCCGCGUGAAGGAUUAAGGCCCUAUGGGUUGUAAACUUCUUUUGUUUGGGAAGAAAUCAGGACAUUCAUGUGCUGUUGACGGUACCUUACGAAUAAGCACCGGCUAACUCCGUGCCAGCAGCCGCGGUAAUACGGAGGGUGCAAGCGUUAUCCGGAAUCACUGGGUUUAAAGGGUGCGUAGGCGGUUUGAUAAGUCAGAGGUGAAAGCUAGCAGCUUAACUGUUAAAUUGCCUUUGAUACUGUCAGACUUGAAUCAAGUUGAGGUAGGCGGAAUGUGACAUGUAGCGGUGAAAUGCAUAGAUAUGUCAUAGAACACCAAUUGCGUAGGCAGCUUGCUGGGCUUGAAUUGACGCUGA